AUUGAACGCUGGCGGCAUGCUUUACACAUGCAAGUCGAACGGUAACAGGCCGCAAGGUGCUGACGAGUGGCGAACGGGUGAGUAAUGCAUCGGAACGUGCCCAGUCGUGGGGGAUAACGCAGCGAAAGCUGCGCUAAUACCGCAUACGCCCUACGGGGGAAAGCAGGGGACCUUCGGGCCUUGCGCGAUUGGAUAUGCCCAGGUGGGAUUAGCUUGUUGGUGAGGUAAUGGCUCACCAAGGCGACGAUCCCUAGCUGGUCUGAGAGGAUGAUCAGCCACACUGGAACUGAGACACGGUCCAGACUCCUACGGGAGGCAGCAGUGGGGAAUUUUCCGCAAUGGGCGAAAGCCUGACGGAGCAAUACCGCGUGAGGGAAGAAUGCCUAUGGGUUGUAAACCUCUUUUUUCAGGGAGGAAUAAAAUGACGUGUACCUGAAGAAUAAGCAUCGGCUAACUCCGUG
RNAcentral lists this ribosomal RNA (461 nucleotides) under uncultured bacterium. Its description in RNAcentral is "bacterial SSU rRNA". It matches the Rfam family "Bacterial small subunit ribosomal RNA", at positions 30 to 507 of the family's 1533-position model. The record is from RNAcentral.